GACGAACGCUGGCGGCGUGCCUAAUACAUGCAAGUAGAACGCUGAAGGAAGGAGCUUGCUCUUUCUGGAUGAGUUGCGAACGGGUGAGUAACGCGUAGGUAACCUGCCUGGUAGCGGGGGAUAACUAUUGGAAACGAUAGCUAAUACCGCAUAAAAUUGAUUAUUGCAUGAUAGUCAAUUAAAAGGUGCAACUGCACCACUACCAGAUGGACCUGCGUUGUAUUAGCUAGUUGGUGGGGUAACGGCUCACCAAGGCGACGAUACAUAGCCGACCUGAGAGGGUGAUCGGCCACACUGGGACUGAGACACGGCCCAGACUCCUACGGGAGGCAGCAGUAGGGAAUCUUCGGCAAUGGACGGAAGUCUGACCGAGCAACGCCGCGUGAGUGAAGAAGGUUUUCGGAUCGUGAAGCUCUGUUGUAAGAGAAGAACGAGUGUGAGAGUGGAAAGUUCACACUGUGACGGUAUCUUACCAGAAAGGGACGGCUAACUACGUG
This 497-nucleotide ribosomal RNA is filed under the name uncultured bacterium. Its description in RNAcentral is "partial 16S ribosomal RNA". It matches the Rfam family "Bacterial small subunit ribosomal RNA", at positions 28 to 507 of the family's 1533-position model. The record is from RNAcentral.